This 1175-nucleotide long non-coding RNA is filed under the name Aotus nancymaae (Ma's night monkey). Its description in RNAcentral is "lncRNA (ENSANAG00000038546.1)". The record is from RNAcentral. Lineage: Eukaryota; Metazoa; Chordata; Mammalia; Primates; Aotidae.
AAAAAAAAAAAAAAAAGCAAGGAUAUUCAGACAUACUCCAACACGGAUAAACCUGGAGGACAUAAGGCUAUGUGAAAUGAGCCAGUCACAAAAGGACAGAUAGAUUUGACUCCACUUUUAUUAGGUCCUAGAACAGGCAAAUUCAUACAAGUAGAAUAAUGAUUAGACCAGGGGCUGAUGAGGGGAAGAACGGGGGAACUGGGUAUGGGGUUUUCGUUGCGGAAGAUGAAACGCUUCUGUAGGUGAGUGGUGGUGAUGCUUGCACAGUGUGAGUGCACUUUAAUGCCUCUGAACUUGAAGACCGUUAAUAAGGUAUAUUUGAGGGGGGCUGUCGGGUCGGUCUCUGCCCGCAGCUGUGGCNNNNNNNNNNNNNNNNNNNNNNNNNUAGUUGGCCAGAAUGGUCUCGGACCUCGUGAUCCGCCCGCCUUCGCCUCCCAAAGUGCUGGGAUUGCAGGCGUGAGCCACCGCACCCGGCCAGGACCUGGUUUCUUAACCGCUUCUGUGCGUCAGCAGUGACAAACUCCUGCCCUCCAGCUCAAUGUCAAGGGUGCUGCGGCCUCAUGCGUCUCUCUUGCCAGCUGACCUAACUCUGCUGCCAAGAAUCGACGGGAAUCCAGGGAGAAAAAGCUGGUGAGAACCCUCUGCAGGGGCCCCCAGGCCUUCGGUGUCUGCUUUUCUCAAUCUGCAUCUUAGUUCACAAGGCGACACUGUCGCCCUGUCUGGAAUUGAUUGGGGCUCCGUCCUGGGUUGAAUUGGUUGGAACUGGUGGUCUUAAGGAAGAGACCUCAUCCCUGUCUCAGUGCGCUGGACAGGGCUAGGCGCCUGCCACAAGAACAUUCUCCUUUUCUUUCCUUUUUAAAUUAAGAAAACCUGUUUGUAUUUGUUUGUAGACAGGGUCUCAUUCUGUCACCUAGGCUGGAGUGCAAUCAUGACUCACUGCAACCUCUGCCUCCCAGGUUCGUUAUUCUCCUGCCUCAGCCUCCAAAGUAGCUGGGACUACAGCUGCGUAUGACCGUGUCUAGCUAAUUUUUAUAUUUUUAGUAGAGACAGGUUUUGCCACGUUGGCCACACUGGUCGCAAACUCUUGACCUUGCGUGAUCCAACCACCUCAGCUUCCCAAAGUGCUGGCAUUGCAGGCACGAGCCACCGAGCCGAGCCUAAUUUUUUUUUUUUUU